UCCGUAGCCGGUUUGGUAAGUUCCUGGUUAAAUCUGGCAGCUUAACUGUCAGUCAGCUAGGAAUACUACUUUACUAGAGGGUGGGAAAGGUUUGAGGUACUCCAGGGGUAGCGGUGAAAUGCGAUAAUCCUUGGGGGACCACCAGUGGCGAAGGCGUCAGACUGGAACACGCCUGACGGUGAGGGACGAAAGCCAGGGGAGCGAACAGGAUUAGAUACCCUGGUAGUCC
RNAcentral lists this ribosomal RNA (229 nucleotides) under uncultured bacterium. RNAcentral describes it as "partial 16S ribosomal RNA". It matches the Rfam family "Archaeal small subunit ribosomal RNA", at positions 518 to 747 of the family's 1478-position model. The record is from RNAcentral.